UGAGCCAAGUUUAGGGUUUUCUCAAAACCCAAGCAGUAUUGAACUGAAGAGUUUGAUCAUGGCUCAGAUUGAACGCUGGCGGCAGGCCUAACACAUGCAAGUCGAGCGGAUGAAGGGAGCUUGCUCCUGGAUUCAGCGGCGGACGGGUGAGUAAUGUCUAGGAAUCUGCCUGGUAGUGGGGGAUAACGUCCGGAAACGG
This 199-nucleotide ribosomal RNA is filed under the name Pseudomonas aeruginosa. RNAcentral's name for it is "partial 16S ribosomal RNA". The stretch from base 41 to 199 matches the Rfam family "Bacterial small subunit ribosomal RNA", at positions 1 to 159 of the family's 1533-position model. The record is from RNAcentral. Lineage: Bacteria; Pseudomonadati; Pseudomonadota; Gammaproteobacteria; Pseudomonadales; Pseudomonadaceae.